This 1504-nucleotide ribosomal RNA is filed under the name uncultured bacterium. Its description in RNAcentral is "16S ribosomal RNA". It matches the Rfam family "Bacterial small subunit ribosomal RNA". The record is from RNAcentral.
GAUGAACGCUGGCGGCGUGCCUAAUACAUGCAAGUCGAGCGAACGGACGAGAAGCUUGCUUCUCUGAUGUUAGCGGCGGACGGGUGAGUAACACGUGGAUAACCUACCUAUAAGACUGGGAUAACUUCGGGAAACCGGAGCUAAUACCGGAUAAUAUUUUGAACCGCAUGGUUCAAAAGUGAAAGACGGUCUUGCUGUCACUUAUAGAUGGAUCCGCGCUGCAUUAGCUAGUUGGUAAGGUAACGGCUUACCAAGGCAACGAUGCAUAGCCGACCUGAGAGGGUGAUCGGCCACACUGGAACUGAGACACGGUCCAGACUCCUACGGGAGGCAGCAGUAGGGAAUCUUCCGCAAUGGGCGAAAGCCUGACGGAGCAACGCCGCGUGAGUGAUGAAGGUCUUCGGAUCGUAAACCCUGUUAUUAGGGAAGAACAUAUGUGUAAGUAACUGUGCACAUCUUGACGGUACCUAAUCAGAAAGCCACGGCUAACUACGUGCCAGCAGCCGCGGUAGUACGUAGGUGGCAAGCGUUAUCCGGAAUUAUUGGGCGUAAAGCGCGCGUAGGCGGUUUUUUAAGUCUGAUGUGAAAGCCCACGGCUCAACCGUGGAGGGUCAUUGGAAACUGGAAAACUUGAGUGCAGAAGAGGAAAGUGGAAUUCCAUGUGUAGCGGUGAAAUGCGCAGAGAUAUGGAGGAACACCAGUGGCGAAGGCGACUUUCUGGUCUGUAACUGACGCUGAUGUGCGAAAGCGUGGGGAUCAAACAGGAUUAGAUACCCUGGUAGUCCACGCCGUAAACGAUGAGUGCUAAGUGUUAGGGGGUUUCCGCCCCUUAGUGCUGCAGCUAACGCAUUAAGCACUCCGCCUGGGGAGUACGACCGCAAGGUUGAAACUCAAAGGAAUUGACGGGGACCCGCACAAGCGGUGGAGCAUGUGGUUUAAUUCGAAGCAACGCGAAGAACCUUACCAAAUCUUGACAUCCUUUGACAACUCUAGAGAUAGAGCCUUCCCCUUCGGGGGACAAAGUGACAGGUGGUGCAUGGUUGUCGUCAGCUCGUGUCGUGAGAUGUUGGGUUAAGUCCCGCAACGAGCGCAACCCUUAAGCUUAGUUGCCAUCAUUAAGUUGGGCACUCUAAGUUGACUGCCGGUGACAAACCGGAGGAAGGUGGGGAUGACGUCAAAUCAUCAUGCCCCUUAUGAUUUGGGCUACACACGUGCUACAAUGGACAAUACAAAGGGUAGCGAAACCGCGAGGUCAAGCAAAUCCCAUAAAGUUGUUCUCAGUUCGGAUUGUAGUCUGCAACUCGACUACAUGAAGCUGGAAUCGCUAGUAAUCGUAGAUCAGCAUGCUACGGUGAAUACGUUCCCGGGUCUUGUACACACCGCCCGUCACACCGCGAGAGUUUGUAACACCCGAAGCCGGUGGAGUAACCUUUUAGGAGCUAGCCGUCGAAGGUGGGACAAAUGAUUNGGGGUGAAGUCGUAACAAGGUAGCCGUAUCGGAAGG